AAGCUCGUAGUUGAAUUUCGAGACCGGUUUACUGGUCGUGCUUUUGUACGUACUGGUAUUAUUAGUUUCUCCUUUCUGACGAAUCAUAAUGCCAUUAAUUUGGUGUUUUGGGGAAUCAGGACUGUUACUUUGAAAAAAUUAGAGUGUUUAAAGCAGGCUCACGCUCGAAUACAUUAGCAUGGAAUAACGAAAUAGGACGUUUGAUUUCAUUUUGUUGGUUUCUAGGGUCGACGUAAUGAUUAAUAGGGAUAGUUGGG
This 257-nucleotide ribosomal RNA is filed under the name uncultured Glomus. RNAcentral describes it as "partial 18S ribosomal RNA". It matches the Rfam family "Eukaryotic small subunit ribosomal RNA", at positions 624 to 886 of the family's 1831-position model. Lineage: Eukaryota; Fungi; Glomeromycota; Glomeromycetes; Glomerales; Glomeraceae. The record is from RNAcentral.